This 74-nucleotide transfer RNA is filed under the name Roseomonas indoligenes. RNAcentral's name for it is "tRNA-Arg". The record is from RNAcentral. Lineage: Bacteria; Pseudomonadati; Pseudomonadota; Alphaproteobacteria; Acetobacterales; Roseomonadaceae.
GGCGGUCCCUGGCGGGCCAUGUUCUUGCCCUCCGAAGGCAAAGGUCGUACGUUCGAAUCGUAUCGGGUCCGCCA